RNAcentral lists this ribosomal RNA (541 nucleotides) under uncultured eukaryote. RNAcentral's name for it is "SSU rRNA". It matches the Rfam family "Eukaryotic small subunit ribosomal RNA", at positions 202 to 746 of the family's 1831-position model. The record is from RNAcentral.
UGUAUUUAUUAGAUUAAAAACCAAUGCCCUUCGGGGCUCCUUGGUGAUUCAUAAUAACUUAACGAAUCGCAUGGCCUUGUGCCGGCGAUGGUUCAUUCAAAUUUCUGCCCUAUCAACUUUCGAUGGUAGUAUAUGGGACUACCAUGGUUUCAACGGGUAACGGGGAAUUAGGGUUCUAUUCCGGAGAGGGAGCCUGAGAAACGGCUACCACAUCCAAGGAAGGCAGCAGGCGCGCAAAUUACCCAAUCCCGACACGGGGAGGUAGUGACAAUAAAUACUGAUACAGGGCUCUUUUGGGUCCUGUAAUUGGAAUGAGUACAAUUUAAAUCCCUUAACGAGGAACAAUUGGAGGGCAAGUCUGGUGCCAGCAGCCGCGGUAAUACCAGCUCCAAUAGCGUAUAUUAAAGUUGUUGCAGUUAAAAAGCUCGUAGUUGAACCUUGGGCCUGGCUGGCCGGUCCGCCUCACCGCGUGCACUGGUCCGGCCGGGUCUUUCCUCCUGGGGAGCCGCAUGCCCUUCACUGGGUGUGUCGGGGAACCAGG